This 844-nucleotide long non-coding RNA is filed under the name Lathyrus oleraceus (garden pea). RNAcentral describes it as "Pisum sativum (pea) long non-coding RNA (PSAT_LNC021789)". The record is from RNAcentral. Lineage: Eukaryota; Viridiplantae; Streptophyta; Magnoliopsida; Fabales; Fabaceae.
AUCAAACAUGUUUUCAUUCAAUAAAGAUCAUUUCCAUUUCAAAUAGUUGUCCAUUAAAUCUUACAAGCAUCAUUUUCCAAAUUCCAUACAAGAAAAUACCAAAAAAAAUACAAUUUUUGCAAAAGUUGAAUUUUGGUCAAUUGUUGACUUUUUGGUCAACCAAUUGACCAAAGUCAACUAACCCAUCUUUUCACAACCUAAACUCUAAUACAUAUUGCAUCUUCAUUCUUGCAUGCCUCCAUAUGACUCCAUGACCAAUGUCUUCAUAAGAAAGAAAGCCACCUUUUACACCAUUGUUUUUCCAUGCCUUGAAUGCUCAUUUGAUGUGCAUUUACCAAGCAUUGUUUUGCCAUAUCUUUGAGCCUUGCAGUCACAUCAUCACUUACAGACCUGUCACAACCCAAACAGCUACAAAGUAAACCAUCCAUGGCAUCAUCUAACACACAUUUCAAGCAUUCAUAACUAACUCAAUCAUGGCAACAUAUCCUAUAUGGCCAUAGUACAUUAACCUAGCAUGAAGAAACAUACAUGCACAUCUGCAGCAUGAAUAAAUGGGAAAACAUGCAUUUCAAGGAAAAAAACAUUCAAAGCCUUACAUAAACCAUAGGCUGCAGCAAAUCAAACCAAAGCCUACAGCCUGCAAAUCACCUGCAAGUUACCAUUCAAUCAAACUAAACAUAGGUAACACAUCAUGCAAUGCAACCAAGUGAAAACUAACCCACCGCCCUAACCUACAAGACAAACCACCAAUUAUAAAAUAACAACAUCAAUUCAAGCACAACCUGCAUCGAGUCAGCAAACCUAGUCAUGCAACCAAUCAUGCCUAAACCUACAGCAAGACAAU